Molecule: long non-coding RNA, 1602 nt
Organism: Homo sapiens (human)
Lineage: Eukaryota; Metazoa; Chordata; Mammalia; Primates; Hominidae
Gene: CCDC26
Product: CCDC26 long non-coding RNA
Source: Ensembl
GACAGAGACAGAGAGAGAGAAUAUAUGAGAAAGUGAAGAAGAGAAAAUGGGAGAGGGAGAGAAAACAUACAAUUAUGUAUGUCUGGAGCACACCAUAUUAAAGGAGGGAGUGGCAGAAAACGUGAGGUGGGAAUCAAAUCAUGCUGGGCUUUUUGGCCAGCAAACUUGGAAAUCAUGUCUUAGAGAUCAAGGAGCCAAGAGAUGAGACAAGCCUGGGUUCCUAGGUGAUAGGGUGUGGCUGUGUCCCCACCCAAAUCUCGUCUUGAAUUGUAGCUCCCAUAAUCCCCACAUGUUGUGGAGGGACCCUGUGGAAGAUUGUGCCUGCAGCCUGGCCUGUUGCCCACAGCGGUCUACCUGCCACACUGGGAAAGAUCGAGCAGAGACAGAGAAGAAAAGGAGGCUCCAUUUUUCAGGCUGCUCUCCCGCAGGCUCAUGUUUUGUGUUCAUGCCAGGCAGAGAACACAAAAUGUUCCAAUAAAUAAGUAUCAAAGGUUAGUGGUGAAAAUGAAGGAGGAGGAGGCAUUGCGUGAAAAACUAAACAUGCAAAAUAUUACACACAAAGAGAACCAAAAUGCAGGUUCACUGGAAAUGAUAGACAAUAUGUUAAAACAAGAGGAGAGAAGAGAGCUGAAAUAAUCAAAUGGAAACACACAAUUUAGGGCUAAGAUCUUGUUGUGUUCAGCCACAAAUGAUGGCCAGCAGUGAGGAAUCUGUGUGUUCUCCACACUCUUCGCUCCUGGGAAGUCAACUCACAUGGACCAUGAUAUCAAUAUCUGCUCCUUCCCCUAAUAUCUGUUUGACCUUGGGUCAGUUACUUAAACUUCCUAAGCCUUAGUUUCUUUGUCUGGAAAAUAGGGAUAGUUAUACCUACCACACAACCACUUUGUAAUGAAUAUGUUGGAAAUUAUAUGCAAAUUGGCUUCCGUUGGUGUUUGGAACAUAGUAGGUUUUUAACUGGAAUAUAAUAGCUACCAUUAUCAGUAUCAUCAUAUUAAUUUAUAUUUCCAUCUUCAGCCCUUAACCCAGGAUCUUCAGUAAAUGUUGAAUUCUCAAAUUUGUUAAAUUCACUUGUCUAUACUAAUAUUUUACUCUAGGUUUCUUAGAAUAUUCUAGAUAAUAUUAUUAUGUAGAAUAUGUUAUGUAAGCUUCAUCUUAUCUGUAAAUAUAGUUUUACUUUUUCCUUUCUAAUUUUUAUGUCGAUUACUUCUUUUUCUUGGCUUAUUGAAUUGGCUAGGAUUCCCGUACAGUGUUGAAUACGUGCAGCAAGACUGCACAUCUUGCCUUGUUCCUGGUCCCACAGAGAGAAUAUCCAGUACUUCACAAUAAGUAUGUGUUAAUUGUAGAUUUUAUUAGAUUGAGGAAGUUCCCUUUCCUUUCAAGUCAGUCUUUUUAUUUUAAACAUGUAUUGAAGUUUUGUCAAAUGUCUUCAUCUAUUGGAAUAAUUAUACAUAUCUCUUUUUUAUUCUGUUAAUAUUACAUUUCAAUCUUCUGUCUACCUAAAAUCCCUAGAAUAAUCUCCAUUUGGCUAUGAUGUGUUGUGCUUUUAUAUAUUACUGAAUUCUAUAUGCCAAUAUUAUUAAAAUUUUCUGUCUUUAUGAGAAA